This is a non-coding RNA of Acanthosepion pharaonis, 115 nucleotides long. NCBI's taxonomy places the organism in Eukaryota, Metazoa, Mollusca, Cephalopoda, Sepiida, Sepiidae. The record is from the annotation of a GenBank genome assembly.
CUACGGCCAUAUCACGUUGAAAUAUCGGUCCCCAUAUGCUCACUGAAGUUAAGCAACGUCGAGCCUGGUCAUUACUUUGAUGGGUGACCGUUUUGGUGAAUACCAGUUACUGUAA